Molecule: non-coding RNA, 97 nt
Organism: Lentithecium fluviatile CBS 122367
Lineage: Eukaryota; Fungi; Ascomycota; Dothideomycetes; Pleosporales; Lentitheciaceae
Source: the annotation of a GenBank genome assembly
UCCGAUAUGGUCUAGUGGUCAGGAUUUGCCGCUCUCAUCGCAGAGUAACGAUUAACUUCGCACCGGCAAGGCCCGGGUUCGAUUCCCGGUGUCGGAA